CUUAUGGAUCUUGUCUUGUCUUGGAAGCUAAGCAGAUUGGACCUGGUGAGUACCUGGGUGGGAGACCACGGAAGAAUAGCAAAUUCUUAUAGGC
Molecule: ribosomal RNA, 94 nt
Filed under: Salvator merianae (Argentine black and white tegu)
Lineage: Eukaryota; Metazoa; Chordata; Lepidosauria; Squamata; Teiidae
Source: RNAcentral